CCUACGGGGGGCAGCAGUGGGGAAUAUUGGGCAAUGGAGGAAACUCUGACCCAGCCAUGCCGCGUGAAGGAUGAAGGUCCUACGGAUUGUAAACUUCUUUUAUUAGGGAAGAAACGUUUUGAUUCAUCAGAACUUGACGGUACCUAAGGAAUAAGCACCGGCUAACUCCGUGCCAGCAGCCGCGGUAAUACGGAGGGUGCAAGCGUUAUCCGGAUUCACUGGGUUUAAAGGGUGCGUAGGUGGAUUGAUAAGUCAGUGGUGAAAGCCCCGAGCUCAACUUGGGAAUUGCCAUUGAUACUGUUAGUCUUGAGUUCGGUUGAGGUAGGCGGAAUAAGUCAUGUAGCGGUGAAAUGCUUAGAUAUGACUUAGAACACCGAUUGCGAAGGCAGCUUACCAAGCCGACACUGACACUGAGGCACGAAAGCGUGGGGAUCAAACAGGAUUAGAUACCCCGGUAGUC
RNAcentral lists this ribosomal RNA (460 nucleotides) under uncultured Chitinophagaceae bacterium. RNAcentral describes it as "bacterial SSU rRNA". It matches the Rfam family "Bacterial small subunit ribosomal RNA", at positions 338 to 795 of the family's 1533-position model. Lineage: Bacteria; Pseudomonadati; Bacteroidota; Chitinophagia; Chitinophagales; Chitinophagaceae. The record is from RNAcentral.